GUCCGUUACUAUUUUUCAACAAACAGACGGUUGAAGCUGUGUUCAGCUUACCGGAUCUUAUAUCAGCUGCACGGAAGUAGCUGUAAGUAAUCUGGACGCUACAGCUUUAACCAGCUGCGUGCUCCCGCGGACGGUAAUCACGAUCACUGUCUAGCGCAACACCUGGAGCUAACGGGGCAAAACAAUCGAGUGCUGCUGUUUGACUGAGGAAGAAUAAAGUAGUCGUGUUCCAAAAGGAAAACAUUAGGAAGCCACCUGUGAAAUCAGAGGACUCUGUGAGGGCAGAGGGGCCGUCCCUUCUUCUGAUGGUGUAUAAAGUCUGUGGGCACUGACUCACCUCUGCUCUUUCUGCCUCCUCAGAUAUCACAGAGCCUGAAGCCGACAAAACAGAUACCAGCACUGAUUUCAAGCUUCUUGGGUGGACACCUCUGUAAUAUUCAUCACCAUGGCAACACAGAAGAAUAACAUCUCAUCCAAAUACAAAGACAUCACCUCCAGAGUUGUGAUUUCAUCAAGAUCUCUUGCUGUCUACCUACUGAGAACAAAAAAAGAGAAGACUGGAUCUUUGACAAGAAUGACUGUUGGAGAAAAAAAUCCAAACAAG
Long non-coding RNA from Oreochromis aureus, 604 nucleotides. The record is from Ensembl. NCBI's taxonomy places the organism in Eukaryota, Metazoa, Chordata, Actinopteri, Cichliformes, Cichlidae.